UCUGCCAUUUUGUUCAUGAGACGAUUGUAUUUAAGAGCUGCCUCCAAGUGAGUUAAGCUUACUUCUGCCAGUAACUACAAUGUCAAGCGGUGGAGGCUUAUCCUGGCAUAGCUGUAUGCGCUAUUCAAAUCUGCACAAAAUAUACUUGUUAUUUAUCCAGAAAUUGAGAUAUUGAAGUUUUUUGGAUGACGCAUAGCCUAAUUAGCAGACUAUAUUUAUUGUUGAUAUACACUAAAACUGUUUAUCAGCUAAAUAUCUUUUUGAAUCUAAUUUUCUGUAUGACAGCAAUGCCAGUUUUGCAAUUUGUUUCCUUGACACUGUUAACCCUGUGAUAUAGACUACAUUUGGCAGCAUGGUCUGGGCAAGCACAGGUUGUAAGCUAUCUCUGCAAGCAAAAGGC
RNAcentral lists this long non-coding RNA (400 nucleotides) under Theobroma cacao (cacao). RNAcentral describes it as "long non-coding RNA (TCAC_LNC000126)". Lineage: Eukaryota; Viridiplantae; Streptophyta; Magnoliopsida; Malvales; Malvaceae. The record is from RNAcentral.